UGUUUGACUUGGCAGCAAAUAUUGGAAUGAAACUGAAACAACUCAGUGAAGAUUAUCAUAGCCUUGCUCAAGAAUGACAUGCAAAUGCAUCAUGUGUUGCCUGUUUUU
RNAcentral lists this small nuclear RNA (108 nucleotides) under Castor canadensis (American beaver). Lineage: Eukaryota; Metazoa; Chordata; Mammalia; Rodentia; Castoridae. The record is from RNAcentral.